UAGUAAAUGGGACAAAUUAUUCAUUAAGUCAUUGUUAUGAGUAUAUAACAUAGUAUUAGUAACCAAUGAUCAAGAACAUGUUAUUUAUAGAUGCUAAAAGCAAAUCAACGACGUCGCUUGAAGUUCCGGGUUUGAGUUUCACAAUGUUAGUGAAUGAAAGCCACUCCACAAGCACUGCCAUUACAAACACCAGGAUCAGCGCCACUGCAUACAUGGCGGAGCUGUUCCCGG
Molecule: long non-coding RNA, 231 nt
Filed under: Trifolium pratense (red clover)
Lineage: Eukaryota; Viridiplantae; Streptophyta; Magnoliopsida; Fabales; Fabaceae
Description: long non-coding RNA (TPRA_LNC010424)
Source: RNAcentral